CCGGUGUGACGUGGUGCCGAGUGACUGGAGGUCAGGAGGUGGAGGAGGCCUUGGCUGACGGCCGGGCGAGAAGGACCUCUCUGAGGAGGUAACUCUGCACUGAGGCCCGGAGAGCCCGGAAGGAGUGUUGCAGGUUGAGGGAACAGGGACGAAGUUGGCACAUUUGAGAUAAAGAAGGCAGGUCAGUGAAGCUGGAGAGGAGAGGGAGGGAGGAGGUGAAGUCAGGCGGCCAGCUGGGCCAGGCGCGUGUCCUGCAGCCGUGGGAGGGAGCGGGGCUUCUACAACAUCACUAAUCCAGCAGAGGAGCGUUUACGAUGGCCCAGAUACUCUUUUAGGGGCUUUACAUCCGUUAACUCUUUUUACCCUCACCACAGAGGUUUGAUUUCACAGACUUAAGUCACCUUAAGUCUCACUCACAUCAAAUUUAGACGAGAUUUUGGACUUUGACUUGUGAGUUGAUGCUGGAAUGAGUUAAGACCUUUGGGUGUGGCUCGAGCAGAGGAAACAUAAAUUGCCUGGUGAGCAGCCAGUCUGCGGUGUAUGCUAGCGCUUCUCCUGUAAAGAAGUUAAAUGAUGGAGCGCCUGACCCCUUAUGCUGGAGUUCUUCCACCUGCUUUGUAAUUAAGCAGCCCUUCAUGGUCCUGGGGGAAGCACGGGUGAGCUGCGUGCGCUACGCUGCAGUGCAGUUUUCAAGCAAACUUCCUCCGUGGGCCUGCCCAGGAGAUUCCCCAGAAUGGUCAGGGCCCCCCACCCAUUUUUCCUGGGGCUCAGGGGACCCAGACUGAUUCGUGUCCGCAAGGACGCUGCCCUGACAGCCUGCUGGGAGCUGGGAGCGUGGUCUCCUCAGCAAACAUGACUUAAAUGCAGCGGUCGCCUUUCAGCUGGGGCUUUAGAAUUACUCGUGAUGUUUCUACCAUUUAAGAUACUUUAGCCUGUUUCAUCUUGAGACAAUUCCUGCAGGUUUCCGUUGAGGAGGCUCAAAUUCUAAGAUUUCAGAAAUCCACGGAAGAGGGAGGGGGGAUCGGUGAAUUUCAGCCAAUUUCACUAGCCAACCUCCCACCUGUGCAACCCCCGGGGAAGCUACUCAACCCCUCUGCGAAGCAGGAAUAAUACUCAUGUGCAUCUCAUCCGUGUAUACUGAGGACUGAGUGACUUAGAACAGUGCCUGGCACAUGGUGUCAUUCAAUAAAUAUUUCUUUCCCUCUUUCCCCCUCUUUGUUUUGCGAAAGAUUAUCUUCAUUGAGUAGGAGAUAGAGGAACACAGUUUUAAAAAAUCAGGCUUCCACACGGAUUACAGGGAAAAGUAACUCUUCCCCCCAGCUCCUAACCUCCAUUCCCCUCUCAGAGGAUGUUAUUAGUCUCUUGUGCAUCCCCUCAGAUGGUCAAGAGACACGUUUGUAUUUAUACACGGGCACUUUUGAAAAGGCAAAUGGCAGCACACUUCGCAGUACUGUGCCUUUUUUAAGAAGUGUAACAGCUUUAUUGAGAUAUGUCACAUACCAUAUAAUUUACCCAUUUAAAGUGUGUCUUGCUUCUUUAUGUAUCACUUAGAUAGUUCCAUAUCAGCAUUUUCACCCUUCUCUAAGGUUGCAUCUCCACUGUGUGGAUGCACCACGACUUUACUUGCUCAGUGCUGUAUUGCUGGACAUCUAGGUUGCCGCCAGUGCUGCAAUGAUAAUGAAUAUCCUUGGAUGUAGGUCUUAGUCCAUGUCUAAAUAUUUCUCUGAAGUUUCUCCUCCUGUUCCUGUCUUUCCUGGGAGUGGAUCCGCUCCGCACUGUCACCAAUAAUGACGUCUCUAACAAACCAACCUGUGCACGAUGUUUGCAAAAUAUACCUCCACACCGUUCUGCUGCUGUCUUUGGCUUAUGGUUUGAACAUAUCCUGGGUAACACACAUUAUCAUUAUUAAUUAUUGUUACUAUUACUAACGAGACUGAGCAUUAUGACAGGGGCUUGGCAGAAAAGCAGCAGGGGAAAAUCGGAUAUUCGUGGUCUAAUUUUGAUAGAAUGCUAUUUGCUAAUUGUCAAGGCCGGGUUUGGCAAGAGAGAAUCGGGACGCAUGAUGUAAAGUGUAAAGACAAUUUCUUGCAACUUCCCGUCCCCACUGCACCCAGAAACAAGCUUCCAUGGCUUGCAUCGAGCUCAUCCUCAGUUAUUGGCACACUUCUCCUCGACGACCCGAGGCCGAAAUGAAGACUCCUGGGAGCUCGUCUGACAAGAGAGCAGAGGCAUUUUUCAGUCUGACAACAAUAGCAGGAAAUACUUCUGUCAGCUUUUACCACAUGCCAGGCACGACUCGAUCUUCCUUUCCAGGGCUUCUCCAGUACGGGGUUCUCAAACUUGAACAUGCAUCGGAAUCCCCUGAAGGGCUUGUUCAUACCCAGAUUGCUGAGUCAGUAGGUCUAAGAUCCCAGGAUGGGCAUUUCCCACAAGUUCCCAGGUGAUGCUGCUGGUCCAGGGACCACACGGCAUGCCUGGCCCCAGCGAGUCCCUGAACAUCUUCCUCACCAAAGGAAGCACAGCAUCAAAGCACAUUUUCAAAGGUGUUUCCUCUGCAUGUUGAAAUUUAAGAGGCCUCUGGUGGAGAAUACAUGGAUGCAUUCUGAGUUUUAAGGAAAGCAAAAAGUAGUUUAUUACUAAUGACAGUUAAAGCAUCAUCCUUGUCAAAUGAUGGCUUUGUUUUUUGUAUGUUCGAGGGGAUUCAACUCCACCUCAUUCCUUGUGUCACAAGGUGCCCCCUGGGAGCAGUCCACAGCCCUGAGGACACUCGGGGGAGGGCAGGAAUGAGACUCUCGUCCAUCACGGACGGUUUGGGCAGAAAAGCAGGCCAAGGGCAGCUGACCCAGACGGGACAAGGGGCUCCCUGAGCUGGGCUUGCAGUCAUGUGUGAGAGCAAGCCUGCGGCUCUGCUUCAGUCAGGUGACACUGAGACACGUUGAAGAGCAGCCGGCAGAAUGGAGAAGGAAGAGGGGCCGGCUCAGGAGAGAAAAAGAGAGUGGCUAGGAGCGGGGAGAGAGAGACAUCUCAGUGGAAACAAGUGACCCUUCAAGCCUGGAGCCUAGACCAGAGCCACUGUCUACGAAAGAGCCUCUGGUUGCAUUUUGGAGACUGGGCGAGAGGGAGGCCAUUUGGAAGCACGGAGACCAGGAGGAUUUUUCAGAGAUUGGUAGCACAUUAAGUCUCUAACCAAUCUCAGGAAUGCUAUAUUUAAAAGGACCCUAAGGAGAGAGUAACACUCAACACACAGAGGUGAUUUGCCGAUGGCGGAAUCCUCUGCACCUGGAGAGAGGAUGUUUGCGCACCUGGACGCCUUCCCUGCGGCUAUCAAACCAGAUUGAAGACAGCUGCCUUCACCGGGGAAGAACACCGGUGAGGAAAGUGCCGGGGAGGACAGAGUUUGGCAGUGGAGGCUGGGGCAGGGUUAGAGAAGUGUGGAGACCCUGGCAGUGUCUAGAGCAAUGGUGCACACCCUCGGCUGCACGUUGGAGUUAGUUGGAGGACUCCUGAUGAUGAGGCCUCAGCCCAGGCCAAUUAAAUACAAAUUUAUAGGCAUCAGCAUUUUCCAAGCUUCCACAGGAUUCCAACGUGCAGCCAAGAUUGAGAACCACUGUUUGAAAAUGGGGCUCCUCAAAGUGUGCUCCGCGGACCAGCAGCAUCGGCAUCACCUGGGAGCUUGUUAGGAAUGUGGCUUCUCUGCCCCCACCUCAGACCUGCUGAAUCAGACUCUAUUUUCCCAGGAUCCCUUGGUGACUGCUAGCACAUUGACUGGGCAUUGGAAUCACUUGGGGAGCUUUCAAAAAAACCAUCUCAGUGCCUGGGUCCCACCUCCAGAAAUUCUGAUGUGAUCAGUUUGGGGUGUGGCCUGGGCACCUGACUUCUUAAACGUCCCAGGUGAGGCUCCAGCUUUACAGCCAGGGUGGAGAAGUGGGCUAGAGCCCAGAAAUUCCAUCAGCAUUCAUGGUGUUGCAGCCUCAAAAUAAAGAGAGGAGGGUGGGGCUCAGGCGGGGCUCUAGACAAACCUAGAAUCAUAUAACUAAAUGAAAAGUAAAUUUGGAAAAGUGAUUAUGAGUUUAAAAUACUUGAAUGGAAUCUGUGUCCUCUGCAGCAAAUCAUUCCUGGAAUUGAACUUUCUGAGGAGGCAAAGCAGCCAGAAUACUCAUGUUGAAAUAUGUUCCACUAGCUGCUUGCCAUGUAUAAGCCGAUCCAGGGCACUGGGCCUUCUGUGCCUAAGUGUGUACAUCUGGGCAACGGGCACAGCAGUGCCUGGUCGGGAGGAUCAGCAGAGGAGGCUGUGGUACAGGCAGCUUCUAAAAUAGCCCUGGGCAGCCUGCUCCUGGCGUUCAGGCCCUAGGGUCAUUCCCUCCCCUUGUGUGGCGGCUGGACUGGCUUCUAACAAUAGAACCUGGCAAAGUGAGGGGCUGUCCCUUCUGAGAUUAGGUUACAAAAGGACUGUGACGUCUCCCUCUGGUUCUUGGAGCCCUUGUUGUGAGGAAAGCAAGCUGCCGUUCUGAGGAGUCCAGGGGAGAAGCCAUGCAGGAAGCAACUGAGGUCUCCAGCCAACAGCAAAGCCCCGAGUCACGUGAGUGAGCUGGGAUGUGGCUCCUCCCCAGUCACGCCUUGAGCUGACUGCAGCCUUCUGAGAGAGCCUGGGUCCUGCGUGUGACCCAACCGCAAAAGCCACACAGCCUUGCUUCC
This is a long non-coding RNA of Equus caballus (horse), 4695 nucleotides long. The record is from Ensembl. NCBI's taxonomy places the organism in Eukaryota, Metazoa, Chordata, Mammalia, Perissodactyla, Equidae.